RNAcentral lists this ribosomal RNA (253 nucleotides) under uncultured bacterium. RNAcentral's name for it is "partial 16S ribosomal RNA". It matches the Rfam family "Bacterial small subunit ribosomal RNA", at positions 524 to 776 of the family's 1533-position model. The record is from RNAcentral.
UACGGGGGGUGCGAGCGUUGUCCGGAAUCACUGGGCGUAAAGGGCGCGUAGGCGGCGCGAGCAGUCGGUCGUGAAAGUCCGGAGCUCAACUCCGGAUCGGCGGUCGAUACUCUCGUGCUUGAGCACUGUAGAGGCAGGUGGAAUUCCGGGUGUAGCGGUGGAAUGCGUAGAGAUCCGGAAGAACACCGGUGGCGAAGGCGGCCUGCUGGGCAGUAGCUGACGCUGAUGCGCGACAGCGUGGGGAGCAAACAGG